GGAGGGGUGGCAGAAUGGCAAUGCGCCAGUCUUGAAAACUGGUGCCCGUAAGGGCUUGCAGGUUCGAAUCCUGUCCCCUCCG
RNAcentral lists this transfer RNA (82 nucleotides) under Parcubacteria group bacterium. Its description in RNAcentral is "tRNA-Ser". It matches the Rfam family "tRNA". From Rfam's summary of the family: Transfer RNA (tRNA) molecules are approximately 80 nucleotides in length. Their secondary structure includes four short double-helical elements and three loops (D, anti-codon, and T loops). Further hydrogen bonds mediate the characteristic L-shaped molecular structure. tRNAs have two regions of fundamental functional importance: the anti-codon, which is responsible for specific mRNA codon recognition, and the 3' end, to which the tRNAs corresponding amino acid is attached (by aminoacyl-tRNA synthetases). tRNAs cope with the degeneracy of the genetic code in two manners: having more than one tRNA (with a specific anti-codon) for a particular amino acid; and 'wobble' base-pairing, i.e. permitting non-standard base-pairing at the 3rd anti-codon position. The record is from RNAcentral.